Molecule: ribosomal RNA, 600 nt
Filed under: Bacillus amyloliquefaciens
Lineage: Bacteria; Bacillati; Bacillota; Bacilli; Caryophanales; Bacillaceae
Description: bacterial SSU rRNA
Rfam family: Bacterial small subunit ribosomal RNA
Source: RNAcentral
CGCACGCACGCUGGCGGCGUGCCUAAUACAUGCAUGUCGAGCGGACAGAUGGGAGCUUGCUCCCUGAUGUUAGCGGCGGACGGGUGAGUAACACGUGGGUAACCUGCCUGUAAGACUGGGAUAACUCCGGGAAACCGGGGCUAAUACCGGAUGGUUGUCUGAACCGCAUGGUUCAGACAUAAAAGGUGGCUUCGGCUACCACUUACAGAUGGACCCGCGGCGCAUUAGCUAGUUGGUGAGGUAACGGCUCACCAAGGCAACGAUGCGUAGCCGACCUGAGAGGGUGAUCGGCCACACUGGGACUGAGACACGGCCCAGACUCCUACGGGAGGCAGCAGUAGGGAAUCUUCCGCAAUGGACGAAAGUCUGACGGAGCAACGCCGCGUGAGUGAUGAAGGUUUUCGGAUCGUAAAGCUCUGUUGUUAGGGAAGAACAAGUGCCGUUCAAAUAGGGCGGCACCUUGACGGUACCUAACCAGAAAGCCACGGCUAACUACGUGCCAGCAGCCGCGGUAAUACGUAGGUGGCAAGCGUUGUCCGGAAUUAUUGGGCGUAAAGGGCUCGCAGGCGGUUUCUUAAGUCUGAUGUGAAAGCCCCCGGC